UUUUAUCAUUAAAAUAAAAAGAUUUGGCGGUAUUUUUUAAGAUUAGAGGAACCUGUGAUUUAAUUGAUAGUCCACGAUAAGAAUUACUUAAAAAUUUGUGUAUUGCUGUUUAAAAGAUGGUAUUGAGUAUUGUUUAAUAUUUUAAAUUAAAGUUAAUUCAAGUCAAAAUACAGUUUAAUUAAGUUGUGGGUUACAUUUUAAUUUAUAAAUAGGAUUUAAUAGUAA
RNAcentral lists this ribosomal RNA (225 nucleotides) under Polybioides raphigastra. RNAcentral describes it as "partial small subunit ribosomal RNA". Lineage: Eukaryota; Metazoa; Arthropoda; Insecta; Hymenoptera; Vespidae. The record is from RNAcentral.